UACGGAGGGUGCGAGCGUUGUUCGGAAUCACUGGGCGUAAAGGGCGCGUAGGUGGCGCGGCAAGUCUGUGGUGAAAGCCCGAGGCUCAACUUCGGGUCGGCCGAUGAUACUGCUGCGCUUGAGCACUGUAGAGGCAGGUGGAAUUCCGGGUGUAGCGGUGGAAUGCGUAGAGAUCCGGAGGAACACCGAUGGCGAAGGCAGGUCUCUGGGCUGACACUGACGCUCAUGCACGAAAGCGUGGGGAGCAAACAGG
Molecule: ribosomal RNA, 253 nt
Filed under: uncultured bacterium
Lineage: Bacteria
Description: partial 16S ribosomal RNA
Rfam family: Bacterial small subunit ribosomal RNA
Source: RNAcentral